Belonocnema kinseyi is the source of this 772-nucleotide long non-coding RNA. RefSeq lists it as uncharacterized. Lineage: Eukaryota; Metazoa; Arthropoda; Insecta; Hymenoptera; Cynipidae. The record is from RefSeq and is a predicted model, not a curated record. The transcript has 2 exons.
UGAUGCCGGGCUUUUUCACCUUUCUUAUUUAUUUUCUUAGUUUUUUGUUUUUAAUAAUAAAUGUUCUGCGUCAGGUUUUAUUGCGGCUCUGUGACUAUUUUACUCUGACUUUUAACUACGAUUUUUAAAAUAUACCAGAAUUAAGUUCACAAUCCGAUAUUGGACAUAAUAAUGAAGGGACUUCCAGACAUUCUCCUUCUAACGGAUCUUCUCAAGCCAGACCUCUUAAUGUCUCACCAAUUCGUGCCAUACCUCUUUCUGUCAGACCUAGCCAUACUGGACCUUCUUCUUUAAUCAUAAAUUUCGAAAAACCCGAACCCCAUGGGAAAUUAAAACACAAAACCUUUUCUUAUCCUCCUGGAUUUCAAACGAUGGAUCAUUUAACUAAUGAAUUUAAGCCAAUACCACCAGGCUGCCCUCUUCGUUCAUUAACAACAGCCAAUAAUUACGUCCUGGGACUAUUGAACCAACAUCUUAUAUUUUUUGGAAUAUAUGCUGAAUUUAAUGGAAAACUCCAUCGAUUUAAAAUACCUAUAAAAGGCGGAAGACCUGUACUACUGCGCGCGGAAGAAGAGGCGGAAUUUUUUGACUUCCGAAAAUUCGAAAGGAAAGAAUAGGAACACACAAAAUACCUCAGAGAAAAAUUGUAGAAUGUAUGUAUAUACUUUAACCUGGAAAUGAUGUAUCUUGUGAUUCAUUUAAUGUGAUAUCUUUGGAGGAAAGGCAACAAAUGCAACUAAAAAUAAUGAAAUAAAAAAGUAUUUACAAUGGC